RNAcentral lists this transfer RNA (65 nucleotides) under Orientocoluber spinalis (Slender racer). RNAcentral describes it as "tRNA-Trp". Lineage: Eukaryota; Metazoa; Chordata; Lepidosauria; Squamata; Colubridae. The record is from RNAcentral.
AGAAACUUAAGUUAUACUAAACUAGGAGCCUUCAAAGCCCCCAAAAAAGACCGCUUUAGUUUCUG